GAAUACGCCUAUACUUACACCAUCAUGUCGAAAAGCACAUCCAUUUUCUGAAUGCUUACAGGAUCCAUAAAGUAAGAUAUUUCUACAUAAUGUUCGUUUAGCUUUGGAAUGGUCUAUUAAAAAUGGUGGUCAGUCAAGUUUUGCUUUGAAUUUCCAUUUACCUUUCAAAUCAGUCACUGACGGAGACCUGGAACUCUCCCUAGAACGGGAAGUUGGCUUUGGGCUUGCAGGAGAAUUCUUCCUCACACUCAUCCUGUCAAUUUCCAGGCAAUCCCAAGCUAACAGUCUGAGAUUAUAGCAAUUUAGUUACAGGUCGUGGAAUCAGUAAGUCCCGGACAAUACUAAUAAUGCAGCACAACGAAGUUUACUGUAAUACUUUGCAACGCUACAUUUUGUUUAUAUAACAAUUUCAUAGUAGUAAUAUUUAAG
This is a non-coding RNA of Schizosaccharomyces pombe (fission yeast), 429 nucleotides long. The record is from the annotation of a GenBank genome assembly. NCBI's taxonomy places the organism in Eukaryota, Fungi, Ascomycota, Schizosaccharomycetes, Schizosaccharomycetales, Schizosaccharomycetaceae.